Molecule: ribosomal RNA, 457 nt
Filed under: uncultured bacterium
Lineage: Bacteria
Description: bacterial SSU rRNA
Rfam family: Bacterial small subunit ribosomal RNA
Source: RNAcentral
UACGGGAGGCAGCGGUGGGGAAUAUUGCACAAUGGGCGAAAGCCUGAUGCAGCUAUGCCGCGUGUAUGAAGAAGGCCUUAGGGUUGUAAAGUACUUUCAUCGGGGAGGAAAAAACAAAACUAAUAAUUUUAUUUCUUGACGUUACCCGAAAAAGAAGCACCGGCUAACUCCGUGCCAGCAGCCGCGGUAAUACGGAGGGUGCUAGCGUUAAUCAGAAUUACUGGGCGUAAAGAGCACGUAGGUGGUUUUUUUAAGUCAGAUGUGAAAUCCCUGGGCUUAACCUAGGAACUGCAUUUUGAAACUGAAAUACUAGAGUAUCGUAGAGGGAGGUAGAAUUCUAGGUGUAGCGGUGAAAUGCGUAGAUAUCUGGAGGAAUACCUGUGGCGAAAGCGGCCUCCUAAACGAAUACUGACACUGAGGGUGCGAAAGCGUGGGGAGCAAACGAGGAUUAGAUACC